UACAUUCUGCGAUGUUAGUGGCUCUUAUUUUGUCUUAAACCGAUAUGAGUAAUACGGGAAUCUUAAAUGACGGGUUGAAUACACCGUGCCUCUCCAUUACGCAGAGGAAGGUGGAAAGACCGCUGCGGAUACCCACCUGUGAGAACGGGUUUUUAAGACAGGAUGAGCUACGGCAAAGCGGAUAUAC
Fictibacillus enclensis is the source of this 187-nucleotide non-coding RNA. NCBI's taxonomy places the organism in Bacteria, Bacillati, Bacillota, Bacilli, Caryophanales, Fictibacillaceae. The record is from Rfam.